GCAUUUCAGAGACUGCGGAGAUUGUGGGAUAGCUGGUAGUCCCUCAGUACCAUCCUCCGCUCCCUCCAUGAGCGCCAUUGAUCUUGGCUUUCCGUUA
Chelonoidis abingdonii (Abingdon island giant tortoise) is the source of this 97-nucleotide non-coding RNA. The record is from RefSeq and is a predicted model, not a curated record. Lineage: Eukaryota; Metazoa; Chordata; Testudines; Testudinidae.